RNAcentral lists this long non-coding RNA (1396 nucleotides) under Lactuca sativa (garden lettuce). RNAcentral describes it as "long non-coding RNA (LSAT_LNC002449)". The record is from RNAcentral. Lineage: Eukaryota; Viridiplantae; Streptophyta; Magnoliopsida; Asterales; Asteraceae.
UAUAUUUCUAUUUUUGCACUUAAUAUACAAAACAAAGAACUCUUUUUAUUAAAUUCCAAUCAGUUUCUGCAUAUUUACAUCACCACUAAAAGUAGGAUCCAACCUUAACGAGAUGUUCACAUAUGAAACCUACUUAAAAGAUGUUGACACCAAUCUCAUAGCCAAAGCCCACGUCCUAAAAGCAUCAAUUUUUACAUGUUGCUCACUUGAAACACCUCAAUGUAUACAAGCCAAUCAAACUAGAUAUGCAACUGAAGACUCGUAUGCUUCUUGUUGAUAAAUUCCCAUCAUGCUUAUCAACACCUACCAGGAAAUAAAACAGAACACAUUUAAGCAAAAUCUGAAUGCAAAUGGGCUUUUACACAGAAACAAAAUAUCAAAAAUACAUACACUGCAACAGUAGGAUGUUACACUAGACACGACUAAAAAUGGAAGACUGAUAAAAACAUACAAAAUAUGUUGGUAAGAAACAACGUACAAAACCUGUUUAUUAAGAGCAUUGUCCAAAAUAUCCACUAAUAAAUGUAGAGCAUAAUAGAAAACACACCACAGAAACUGGAAGUUGGAUGCUACACUGGUCCGGGUUCUUUCACCAUAUGCUGCAGAAAAUACUUUCAUGAGCUUGUUAACAUUUAAUAUAAAAUUAAGUAUGCAAUCAUAAAAAAAAUAUUCAACCAUGAGUAAAAACAAAAGGGGUAAUCAAUCACCUUACAAUGUUAAUAAUUUUUUCCUCCAGCAGGAACAUAAAUAAUGUUUCUCACAAUAUUAUUUCUAUCAACUUGGUAAUCCAGUUCAUUUAGAAAAUAAAUUGGAAAUCAGAAAUUACAUAAAAAUGUUAAGAAACCAGCCACUUAUUGUUGCAUGUUGUAUCUUUAGACACAUUUUAAGCAUUUAUAAUCCUGUUAUAUUUUCCAACUCUAAUGUGAUUUAGGGUUUUGACCCAAACAUUAUAUAUUUUGAACUCGUUUAUUGAUGACUGGAUAGAAAAAUACCAACAAUGCAACAAUAACCUCUAAUCAGAACAUGCGUAUAUUAAACCAAAAUAGAGGAUCCAUUACUCAAUUCAUGUAUCUGGAUUCCAAAACUUGAUAUGCAUAAUUAAAAUAAAAUAAAAUAAAAAAAAAGUAUCAGUCGAAAUGGUACCUCAAGAGCAUCGAUUGUUGUGGCACUAGUGAAAAUAGCGGCGAUAAAGCGUCGAAUUCUCGUCGUUUUAGGGUAUUAGGGUUUUCGAUCAAUGGUUUUAACUCUCUAGAGUGCUCGCAUUCACAGAGUAGCUUCGAAUUGAAAUCAUAUACCUGGUCAAAUGGCGGGAUAAUAAAAAUUUGUAGCGGGAUAACGGAAAUUGGUGGCUGGAUAUGAAAAUUUGAUAGGCAAUGUUUUUUUAAUUGCAUCGGCG